RNAcentral lists this ribosomal RNA (468 nucleotides) under uncultured bacterium. RNAcentral's name for it is "partial 16S ribosomal RNA". It matches the Rfam family "Bacterial small subunit ribosomal RNA", at positions 28 to 507 of the family's 1533-position model. The record is from RNAcentral.
GAUGAACGCUGGCGGCGUGCUUAACACAUGCAAGUCGAACGGGGAAGGCGGAGCUUGCUCUGCUGGAUCAGUGGCGAACGGGUGAGUAACACGUGAGCAAUCUGCCCCUGACUCUGGGAUAAGCGCUGGAAACGGAGUCUAAUACUGGAUACGAGCUACGAAGGCAUCUUCAGCAGCUGUAAAGAACUUCGGUCAGGGAUGAGCUCGCGGCCUAUCAGCUUGUUGGUGAGGUAGCGGCUCACCAAGGCGUCGACGGGUAGCCGGGCUGAGAGGGUGACCGGCCACACUGGGACUGAGACACGGCACAGCCUCCUACGGGAGGCAGCAGUGGGGAAUAGUGCACAAUGGGCGAAAGCCUGAUGCAGCAACGCCGCGUGAGGGAAGACGGCCUUCGGGUUGUAAACCUCUUUUAGCAGGGAAGAAGCGAAAGUGACGGUACCUGCAGAAAAAGCGCCGGCUAACUACGUG